This 492-nucleotide ribosomal RNA is filed under the name uncultured bacterium. RNAcentral's name for it is "partial 16S ribosomal RNA". It matches the Rfam family "Bacterial small subunit ribosomal RNA", at positions 30 to 507 of the family's 1533-position model. The record is from RNAcentral.
AUUGAACGCUGGCGGCAUGCUUUACACAUGCAAGUCGAACGGUAACAGGCCUUCGGGUGCUGACGAGUGGCGAACGGGUGAGUAAUGCAUCGGAACGUACCCAGAGGUGGGGGAUAACGCAGCGAAAGCUGUGCUAAUACCGCAUGUGAUCUGAGGAUGAAAGCGGGGGACCGAGCAGCAAUGUUUGGCCUCGCGCCUUUGUAGCUGCCGAUGUCGGAUUAGCUAGUUGGUGGGGUAAAGGCCUACCAAGGCGACGAUCCGUAGCUGGUCUGAGAGGACGACCAGCCACACUGGGACUGAGACACGGCCCAGACUCCUACGGGAGGCAGCAGUGGGGAAUUUUGGACAAUGGGCGCAAGCCUGAUCCAGCAAUGCCGCGUGCGGGAAGAAGGCCUUCGGGUUGUAAACCGCUUUUGGCAGGAACGAAACGGUGUCCGCUAAUACCGGGCGCUAAUGACGGUACCUGCAGAAUAAGCACCGGCUAACUACGUG